Molecule: ribosomal RNA, 423 nt
Filed under: uncultured bacterium
Lineage: Bacteria
Description: bacterial SSU rRNA
Rfam family: Bacterial small subunit ribosomal RNA
Source: RNAcentral
AAGACCUUGCGCUUUUGGAGCGGCCGAUGCCUGAUUAGCUUGUUGGUAAGGUAAAAGCUUACCAAGGCUUCGAUCAGUAGCUGGUCUGAAAGGACGGCCAGCCACACUGGGACUGAGACACGGCCCAGACUCCUACGGGAGGCAGCAGUGGGGAAUUUUGGACAAUGGGGGCAACCCUGAUCCAGCCAUGCCGCGUGAGUGAAGAAGGCCUUCGGGUUGUAAAGCUCUUUCAGCCGGAACGAAACGGUUACGGUUAAUACCCGUGAUUACUGACGGUACCGGAAGAAGAAGCACCGGCUAACUACGUGCCAGCAGCCGCGGUAAUACGUAGGGUGCGAGCGUUAAUCGGAAUUACUGGGCGUAAAGCGUGCGCAGGUGGUUUUGUAAGUCAGAUGUGAAAGCCCCGGGCUCAACCUGGGAACU